UACGUAGGGUGCGAGCGUUGUCCGGAAUUAUUGGGCGUAAAGAGCUCGUAGGCGGUGUGUCGCGUCGGCCGUGAAAACCUGGGGCUCAACUCUGGGCGUGCGGUCGAUACGGGCAUCACUUGAGUUCGGCAGGGGAGACUGGAAUUCCUGGUGUAGCGGUGAGAUGCGCAGAUAUCAGGAGGAACACCGGUGGCGAAGGCGGGUCUCUGGGCCGAUACUGACGCUGAGGAGCGAAAGCAUGGGUAGCGAACAG
RNAcentral lists this ribosomal RNA (253 nucleotides) under uncultured bacterium. RNAcentral's name for it is "partial 16S ribosomal RNA". It matches the Rfam family "Bacterial small subunit ribosomal RNA", at positions 524 to 775 of the family's 1533-position model. The record is from RNAcentral.